UGGACUUCGCUCAAUUUACAUUUAACCUGCGGGUUAUAGGCUCAUAUUAAAAGAAAAAGUAUCCCAAGCUACAUUUCCUACCUAGUUUUAUGUGGGUUAGUGUUACCCAUGCCAAUUACUUUUCACUUUGGGCAGAAUUUCAUUGAAGAAAAGAGACUUGAAACAGUACUAGAAGCUGCUACUCGCAUCUGUGAAGACUUGAAAAACAAAACCAUAAGCAAUCCUGACUUAGAUCCCUGCUGAGAUCCUGGCAAAGUGGAAUUCAGUACAUGGUUCCUUAAAUGAAGCCGGAAACCAUCUCAUCGAAGUCAGCAAAGAGCAAGUUGGAUCAAAUAUUGCCAAAGAGAUGAAGAAACUGAACAGGAGAUGGGCUAAGUUCAUCAAGCGGACACACUUUCUUGAUGAAGAAAGCACAGAUGCUGCUGAAAAAAAUGGGGAGCUUCGGGGCAGCCUGGAGAAAAUUGAAGAGCUCCUUGGAGGGGUGGAGAGCCGGGCAGCGGAGAUUGGAUGCCUGCUUGGCAAGAUCAGUCAGGAGAGGCCUGUGUAACCU
This is a long non-coding RNA of Calidris pugnax (ruff), 550 nucleotides long. RefSeq lists it as uncharacterized. The transcript has 3 exons. NCBI's taxonomy places the organism in Eukaryota, Metazoa, Chordata, Aves, Charadriiformes, Scolopacidae. The record is from RefSeq and is a predicted model, not a curated record.